ACAGGAAAAUGACCUAUGAAUUGACAGACAAUAUGACUAAGUUUGUCUGUCAUUUCUGUAGGCCAAUAUUCUGU
Molecule: non-coding RNA, 74 nt
Organism: Equus caballus (horse)
Lineage: Eukaryota; Metazoa; Chordata; Mammalia; Perissodactyla; Equidae
Source: Rfam